Non-coding RNA from Oryza barthii, 207 nucleotides. Lineage: Eukaryota; Viridiplantae; Streptophyta; Magnoliopsida; Poales; Poaceae. The record is from Rfam.
GGUAAGUACUCCCUUUGUUACACUGUUAAUGUCCAAUGUUUGGUUGUUCGUUUUAUUUAAAAAAAUUUUAUGAUUAGUAUUUUUAUUGUUAUUAGAUAAUAAAAUAUGAAUAAUACUCUAUGUGUGAUUAUCUUUUUUAAUUUUUUUAAUUUUUUUUUAAAAUAAGACGGACAGUCGUGGAUAUGAAUAUCCAGUGCUAAGCUUAUU